GCCGGUGUAGAGCAGCAGGAGUGCUCGCUUGCCUGUCACGCAAGAGGCCGCGGGUUCAAGUCCCGUCACUGGCGC
This 75-nucleotide transfer RNA is filed under the name Mycobacteroides abscessus subsp. abscessus. RNAcentral's name for it is "tRNA-Asp(gtc)". It matches the Rfam family "tRNA". From Rfam's summary of the family: Transfer RNA (tRNA) molecules are approximately 80 nucleotides in length. Their secondary structure includes four short double-helical elements and three loops (D, anti-codon, and T loops). Lineage: Bacteria; Bacillati; Actinomycetota; Actinomycetes; Mycobacteriales; Mycobacteriaceae. The record is from RNAcentral.